CUCAAACAACCCUUAUACUUAGUUUAUGCUUAGCUGAGCAGCUCUUGCAUUAGUUAUAUCUGCAGUGUGAUGAGAGGGUUCAAGGGGAGAGACCCAGCUCACUGGAUGCUUGUCAGAAAGGUGCUUUGGCAACAGCUACGUGUUUCCAUGUGCAGAACAGCAUUGUUUCAUGGCUGGAGAAGAAGACAUCUAAGGUGCAGAACUUCGGCUUCCUGGGUCCCCAGCCCUCGGCACAGUUCCCUCUGCAGUAACAGAAGGAGAAAUAGAGUGGGAAAAAGAAGAGGCAGAAGAAGGAGAAGGAAUGGAGACACAAAGCAGAGAACGAUGCUGAAAACACUGGAAGAGCUGGUGAGGAUGGAGAGAGGAAGAAAUUGGAGAAACAAUCAUGCUUGCUUGGAUCAGAGACCACUUGCUUGUCUGCAGCAGGAAGAAAGUAGCACACUGUCCAGCAGCCUUCCCUGCCUCUGCUCUGCCCCUGGGAUGCCGACAGCUCAUGGAGCUCUACUUUCUGUAAGCAGAACAAUCAGACAACAGCUUCUGAGUAAGUCCUUUGUGGCACAAACAUAUUGGCAGCUCUAUAGGUUGCUUCUUUUAAUCCUCCUGCCAUACAGAGAGGAUAAAAUUCCCGACACAAAUGGCAACUCUGCAGCAAGUAUCUGCCAUAAUUACAGUAAUUAUAUUGUCUUCACACUCUCUUAUGAAUCAGUGACAGUAUGUAUUUAA
Molecule: long non-coding RNA, 723 nt
Filed under: Chrysolophus pictus (golden pheasant)
Lineage: Eukaryota; Metazoa; Chordata; Aves; Galliformes; Phasianidae
Description: lncRNA (ENSCPIG00010004670.1)
Source: RNAcentral